This 388-nucleotide ribosomal RNA is filed under the name uncultured bacterium. Its description in RNAcentral is "bacterial SSU rRNA". It matches the Rfam family "Bacterial small subunit ribosomal RNA", at positions 28 to 417 of the family's 1533-position model. The record is from RNAcentral.
AUUGAACGCUGGCGGCAUGCUUUACACAUGCAAGUCGAGCGGCAGCGCGGGGGCAACCCUGGCGGCGAGCGGCGAACGGGUGAGUAAUGCAUCGGAACGUACCCGCAGUGGGGGAUAACCCAGCGAAAGCUGGGCUAAUACCGCAUAUGCUCUACGGAGGAAAGUGGGGGACUCGCAAGGGCCUCACGCUAUGGGAGCGGCCGAUGUCCGAUUAGCUAGUUGGUGGGGUAAUGGCCCACCAAGGCGACGAUCGGUAGCUGGUCUGAGAGGAUGAUCAGCCACACUGGGACUGAGACACGGCCCAGACUCCUACGGGAGGCAGCAGUGGGGAAUUUUGGACAAUGGGGGCAACCCUGAUCCAGCCAUGCCGCGUGCGGGAAGAAGGCCU